Molecule: ribosomal RNA, 450 nt
Filed under: uncultured bacterium
Lineage: Bacteria
Description: partial 16S ribosomal RNA
Rfam family: Bacterial small subunit ribosomal RNA
Source: RNAcentral
GUGGGGAAUAUUGGACAAUGGGCGAAAGCCUGAUCCAGCCAUGCCGCGUGUGUGAAGAAGGUCUUCGGAUUGUAAAGCACUUUAAGUUGAGAGGAAGGGCAGUAAGUUAAUACCUUGCUGUUUUGACGUUACCAACAGAAUAAGCACCGGCUAACUUCGUGCCAGCAGCCGCGGUAAUACGAAGGGUGCAAGCGUUAAUCGGAAUUACUGGGCGUAAAGCGCGCGUAGGUGGUUCAGCAAGUUGAAGGUGAAAUCCCCGGGCUCAACCUGGGAACUGCCUCCAAAACUACUGAGCUAGAGUACGGUAGAGGGUAGUGGAAUUUCCUGUGUAGCGGUGAAAUGCGUAGAUAUAGGAAGGAACACCAGUGGCGAAGGCGACUACCUGGACUGAUACUGACACUGAGGUGCGAAAGCGUGGGGAGCAAACAGGAUUAGAAACCCUAGUAGUCC